RNAcentral lists this ribosomal RNA (465 nucleotides) under Vreelandella stevensii. RNAcentral's name for it is "partial 16S ribosomal RNA". It matches the Rfam family "Bacterial small subunit ribosomal RNA", at positions 338 to 795 of the family's 1533-position model. The record is from RNAcentral. Lineage: Bacteria; Pseudomonadati; Pseudomonadota; Gammaproteobacteria; Oceanospirillales; Halomonadaceae.
CCUACGGGCGGCUGCAGUGGGGAAUAUUGGACAAUGGGGGCAACCCUGAUCCAGCCAUGCCGCGUGUGUGAAGAAGGCCCUCGGGUUGUAAAGCACUUUCAGUGAGGAAGAACGCCUGGUGGUUAAUACCCAUCAGGAAAGACAUCACUCACAGAAGAAGCACCGGCUAACUCCGUGCCAGCAGCCGCGGUAAUACGGAGGGUGCGAGCGUUAAUCGGAAUUACUGGGCGUAAAGCGCGCGUAGGUGGCUUGAUAAGCCGGUUGUGAAAGCCCCGGGCUCAACCUGGGAACGGCAUCCGGAACUGUCAAGCUAGAGUGCAGGAGAGGACGGUAGAAUUCCCGGUGUAGCGGUGAAAUGCGUAGAGAUCGGGAGGAAUACCAGUGGCGAAGGCGGCCUUCUGGACUGACACUGACACUGAGGUGCGAAAGCGUGGGUAGCAAACAGGAUUAGAUACCCGAGUAGUC